Molecule: long non-coding RNA, 959 nt
Organism: Bos taurus (domestic cattle)
Lineage: Eukaryota; Metazoa; Chordata; Mammalia; Artiodactyla; Bovidae
Source: Ensembl
AGCAGAGUUGAGUGUCUUGGUUCUUACGUUGGCCUGCCUGAGGAAGCCAUCUGGACGGAGGAAAUUUGCCUUAAACCUUGGCAAGAGAACUUUGUUCUGUUUGAACUUUGUUUAAAGCCUCAGAGUGGGUGAUCAUUUUGUUUAAACUUUCCUUAAAACAAAGAGUGGGAGAUUCCCCGCAAUUAACAACAGGAACCUUUGUCCCAUCUUAACAGAUCUGAUAGGAAAAAAAAAUGCAAGGACUGUUCUGACAUCCAUUAAUGCAGUUCAGUUAGAGGGACGGAAAGGAAGACACAAAGGAGGAAGAUUCUGCAGUCUCAGGAGAGGUUAAGUCGAUUACUGAAGGACUGAUGCUGAAGCUGAAGCUACAAUACUCUGGCCGCCUGAUUCGAAGAACCAACUCAUUGGAAAAGACCCUGAUGCUGGGCAAGAUUGAAGGCAGGAGGAGAAGGGGACGACAGAGGAUGAGAUGGUUGGAUGGCAUCACCGACUCAAUGGACAUGAGUUUAAGCAAUCUCUGGGAGUUGGUGAAGGACAGGAGAGCCUGGCAUGCAGUCCAUGAGGUCGCAGUCCAACAGUCACAAGGUCUGACUCUUUGAGUCCAAAGAGUCACACACGACUGAGCGACUGAACUGAAUAUAUAUGUGUUGAGCCCCUGAAGUGGUUUCCCUGGAAAUCCUCCUUAGGCACAGCUGUUCUCAGGAAAAUGUCUACAAGAGUUAUCUCAGGACCUCCCAGCCUUUCCCUUUGCUGUUCCCAGCUCUUGACUUGAAGAGUUUUUAAGUAAAAUUUAAUUAUAUGAGAUUAUUCCCCACUUCCCCAAGGUUAACUGUCUUGAAUUUGCAUUGGAAGGUGGAGAGGGAGAGUUCAGCAUAUAUCUGGUCCUUUAAGGAACCCAUCACAUGCCACCCUCAGCAGCCUGAGGAGACAGGUGUAAUAUGAGGCCCUGAGGCCCGGAG